AUUGAACGCUGGCGGCAUGCUUUACACAUGCAAGUCGAACGGUAACAGGGUGCUUGCACCGCUGACGAGUGGCGAACGGGUGAGUAAUGCGUCGGAACGUGCCGAGUAGUGGGGGAUAACGCAGCGAAAGUUGUGCUAAUACCGCAUACGUACUGAGGGAGAAAGUGGGGGACCUUCGGGCCUCACGCUAUUCGAGCGGCCGACGUCUGAUUAGCUAGUAGGUGAGGUAAAGGCUCACCUAGGCGACGAUCAGUAGCGGGUCUGAGAGGAUGAUCCGCCACACUGGGACUGAGACACGGCCCAGACUCCUACGGGAGGCAGCAGUGGGGAAUUUUGGACAAUGGGCGAAAGCCUGAUCCAGCCAUGCCGCGUGUCUGAAGAAGGCCUUCGGGUUGUAAAGGACUUUUGUCAGGGAGGAAAUCCCUAGUGCUAAUAACACUGGGGGAUGACAGUACCGGAAGAAUAAGGACCGGCUAACUACGUGCCAGCCGCCGCCGUAA
RNAcentral lists this ribosomal RNA (500 nucleotides) under uncultured bacterium. RNAcentral describes it as "partial 16S ribosomal RNA". It matches the Rfam family "Bacterial small subunit ribosomal RNA", at positions 30 to 523 of the family's 1533-position model. The record is from RNAcentral.